Molecule: ribosomal RNA, 407 nt
Filed under: uncultured bacterium
Lineage: Bacteria
Description: partial 16S ribosomal RNA
Rfam family: Bacterial small subunit ribosomal RNA
Source: RNAcentral
UGGGGAAUUUUGGACAAUGGGCGCAAGCCUGAUCCAGCCAUGCCGCGUGCGGGAAGAAGGCCUUCGGUUGUAAACCGCUUUUGUCAGGGAAGAAAUCUUCUGAGUUAAUACCUCGGGAGGAUGACGGUACCUGAAGAAUAAGCACCGGCUAACUACGUGCCAGCAGCCGCGGUAAUACGUAGGGUGCAAGCGUUAAUCGGAAUUACUGGGCGUAAAGCGUGCGCAGGCGGUUUUGUAAGACAGAGGUGAAAUCCCCGGGCUCAACCUGGGAACUGCCUUUGUGACUGCAAGGCUUGAUGCGGCAGAGGGGGAUGGAAUUCCGCGUGUAGCAGUGAAAUGCGUAGAUAUGCGGAGGAGCACCGAUGGCGAAGGCAAUCCCCCUGGGCCUGCACUGACGCUCAUGCACG